Molecule: ribosomal RNA, 158 nt
Filed under: uncultured Valsa
Lineage: Eukaryota; Fungi; Ascomycota; Sordariomycetes; Diaporthales; Cytosporaceae
Description: 5.8S ribosomal RNA
Rfam family: 5.8S ribosomal RNA
About the family: 5.8S ribosomal RNA (5.8S rRNA) is a component of the large subunit of the eukaryotic ribosome. It is transcribed by RNA polymerase I as part of the 45S precursor that also contains 18S and 28S rRNA. Functionally, it is thought that 5.8S rRNA may be involved in ribosome translocation.
Source: RNAcentral
UUCAACAACGGAUCUCUUGGUUCUGGCAUCGAUGAAGAACGCAGCGAAAUGCGAUAAGUAAUGUGAAUUGCAGAAUUCAGUGAAUCAUCGAAUCUUUGAACGCACAUUGCGCCCUCUGGUAUUCCAGAGGGCAUGCCUGUUCGAGCGUCAUUUCAACC